This 254-nucleotide ribosomal RNA is filed under the name uncultured bacterium. Its description in RNAcentral is "partial 16S ribosomal RNA". It matches the Rfam family "Bacterial small subunit ribosomal RNA", at positions 524 to 776 of the family's 1533-position model. The record is from RNAcentral.
CACGUAGGGGGCGAGCGUUGUCCGGAUUUAUUGGGCGUAAAGAGCUCGUAGGCGGCUCAGUAAGUCAGGUGUGAAAACUCCAGGCUCAACCUGGAGACGCCACCUGAUACUGCUGUGGCUAGAGUCCGGUAGGGGAGCAUGGAAUUCCUGGUGUAGCGGUGAAAUGCGCAGAUAUCAGGAGGAACACCAGUGGCGAAGGCGGGUUGCUGGGCUGAUACUGACGCUGAGGCGCGAAAGCCAGGGGAGCGAACGGG